RNAcentral lists this unclassified non-coding RNA (489 nucleotides) under Hevea brasiliensis (rubber tree). Lineage: Eukaryota; Viridiplantae; Streptophyta; Magnoliopsida; Malpighiales; Euphorbiaceae. The record is from RNAcentral.
CUUUCUUUUAUGUUUAUGUUAUUUUUCUAUUAAAGAUUAUAUAAUCUGACUAUUCAAGUUUUUAAGAUGUAAUCGGUGGCUUCGUGCACCAAUAGAAUUUUUCAUUUAAUCUGAUUAGGUGAUUCUUUAUCAUAGGGACCGUCAAUUUGGUAGUCUUUACCCUUGUUUAUUUCAAGUGUACUGCAUCUAAACUCUCAACCUAGGCUGGUUAGGGAGAAGAUUAGCUCAAUACUUUAUAUGGGUAAUUCUAGGGUGCCUCUCUUAGCUUUCCCGGAAAAAAAGGUUUACUUCCCUGAUUAACCUUAUCUGCUCGAUACUAAUGAAAGGCUAUGUUUGCUUGUCCUUGUGGCAGAGUUUGGCGAUUUUGCACUUUGCAAUGUUUGUGUAACUGAACCUACCUAGUGAAAUUUCAUAUGAGUUUUGUAUGUUUGGAAAAUGAUUUACUUGCAUUUGUGGGCCACUGCAUCCUUGUGGCUCCCUUCCUUUUGG